AUCACUGAAUGGGGUCCCAAAAGUUCGAACGGUCGGGACUUGCAACAAAAUGCAAGGAGUGACCACUGAAAACUUUGGCUGGCCCUAAACCUCACAUGGAACCCUACCCACAGCACCACCAACAUCGGCCUACGGGUUUGCGUUUUACCAGAAACCUUGAAUAUACCAGCCCGAAGCAGCCUUUUUCUUCUAUGGCUGAUUGGGGUUCAAGAAGUCCAAAUGGUGGGACGGGCC
Molecule: long non-coding RNA, 234 nt
Organism: Calypte anna (Anna's hummingbird)
Lineage: Eukaryota; Metazoa; Chordata; Aves; Apodiformes; Trochilidae
Exons: 2
Source: RefSeq, a predicted model, not a curated record